GACGAACGCUGGCGGCGUGCCUAAUACAUGCAAGUCGAGCGCAGGAAACUGACGGAACUCUUCGGAGGGAAGGCAGUGGAAUGAGCGGCGGACGGGUGAGUAACACGUAAGGAACCUGCCUCAAGGAUUGGGAUAACUCCGAGAAAUCGGAGCUAAUACCGGAUAGUUCAACGGACCGCAUGGUCCGCUGAUGAAAGGCGCUCCGGCGUCACCUUGAGAUGGCCUUGCGGUGCAUUAGCUAGUUGGUGGGGUAAUGGCCCACCAAGGCGACGAUGCAUAGCCGACCUGAGAGGGUGAUCGGCCACACUGGGACUGAGACACGGCCCAGACUCCUACGGGAGGCAGCAGUAGGGAAUCUUCCACAAUGGACGAAAGUCUGAUGGAGCAACGCCGCGUGAGUGAUGAAGGUUUUCGGAUCGUAAAACUCUGUUGUAAGGGAAGAACACGUACGAGAGGAAAUGCUCGUACCUUGGCGGUACCUUACGAGAAAGCCACGGCUAACUACGUGACAGCAGCCGCCGUAA
Molecule: ribosomal RNA, 524 nt
Filed under: uncultured bacterium
Lineage: Bacteria
Description: partial 16S ribosomal RNA
Rfam family: Bacterial small subunit ribosomal RNA
Source: RNAcentral